RNAcentral lists this ribosomal RNA (465 nucleotides) under uncultured bacterium. RNAcentral's name for it is "partial 16S ribosomal RNA". It matches the Rfam family "Bacterial small subunit ribosomal RNA", at positions 339 to 795 of the family's 1533-position model. The record is from RNAcentral.
CUACGGGUGGCUGCAGUGAGGAAUUUUGCGCAAUGGGGGUAACCCUGACGCAGCAACGCCGCGUGAGUGAUGAAGGCUUUCGGGUCGUAAAGCUCUGUCAAGUGGGAAGAAUAUACGAAAUGCUAAUACCAUUUUGUACUGACGGUACCACUGAAGGAAGCACCGGCUAACUCCGUGCCAGCAGCCGCGGUAAUACGGGGGGUGCAAGCGUUAUUCGGAAUUAUUGGGCGUAAAGCGCACGUAGGCGGCCGCUUAAGUCAGAUGUGAAAGCCCGGGGCUCAACCCCGGAAGUGCAUUUGAAACUAAGGGGCUUGAGUAUGGGAGAGGGAAGUGGAAUUCCUGGUGUAGAGGUGAGAGUCGUAGAUAUCAGGAGGAACACCGGUGGCGAAGGCGACUUCCUGGACCAAUACUGACGCUGAGGUGCGAAGGCGUGGGGAGCAAACAGGAUUAGAUACCCUCGUAGUC